This 384-nucleotide long non-coding RNA is filed under the name Coturnix japonica (Japanese quail). Its description in RNAcentral is "lncRNA (ENSCJPG00005008621.1)". Lineage: Eukaryota; Metazoa; Chordata; Aves; Galliformes; Phasianidae. The record is from RNAcentral.
UAAGAACCCUGGCUGCAGCAUUGCUUUCUGUUUCCACUUCUAUUCGAUCAAGCACUUUGAAGGGCCUGUAGCUCAGGAAAAGUGUGCUGUGAGAAAAGAAGUAUAGUGUAGGCUGUUGUGCUUUGUUUAUUUUAAAAUUAGUUUUUCUUUCUCAAAUGCAGCUUCAGUCAGAUGCUUGUGUUCUCAUGUUGCAGCUUAUGAGCUGCAAUGUAAAAAGAAAAAAAUGGAAAUGAUUAGCUGAAUAUUUAAAGUGAGUAUGGACUAUUGCUGAGAAGAUCUAAGAAAAUAUUAAGAUUAUAAAAACAAUGUAAUAUCUGCUGGAAUGAAUAAGAAAUACUAUGCAAUACCUAUAGUAAAAAAAACUAUUAUUAUCUAAGAAUCUUG